This 197-nucleotide ribosomal RNA is filed under the name uncultured bacterium. RNAcentral's name for it is "partial 16S ribosomal RNA". It matches the Rfam family "Bacterial small subunit ribosomal RNA", at positions 328 to 539 of the family's 1533-position model. The record is from RNAcentral.
ACGCUCGACACCUACGGAGGCAGCAGUGGGGAAUAUUGCACAAUGGGGGAAACCCUGAUGCAGCGACGCCGCGUGAGUGAAGAAGUAAUUCGUUAUGUAAAGCUCUAUCAGCAGGGAAGAAAGUGACGGUACCUGAGUAAGAAGCCCCGGCUAACUACGUGCCAACAGCCGCGGUAAUCUGAGCGGGCUGGCAAGGC